Molecule: transfer RNA, 83 nt
Filed under: Alkalibacillus salilacus
Lineage: Bacteria; Bacillati; Bacillota; Bacilli; Caryophanales; Bacillaceae
Also listed under: 1 other name
Description: tRNA-Leu
Rfam family: tRNA
About the family: Transfer RNA (tRNA) molecules are approximately 80 nucleotides in length. Their secondary structure includes four short double-helical elements and three loops (D, anti-codon, and T loops). Further hydrogen bonds mediate the characteristic L-shaped molecular structure. tRNAs have two regions of fundamental functional importance: the anti-codon, which is responsible for specific mRNA codon recognition, and the 3' end, to which the tRNAs corresponding amino acid is attached (by aminoacyl-tRNA synthetases). tRNAs cope with the degeneracy of the genetic code in two manners: having more than one tRNA (with a specific anti-codon) for a particular amino acid; and 'wobble' base-pairing, i.e. permitting non-standard base-pairing at the 3rd anti-codon position.
Source: RNAcentral
GCCGGUGUGGCGGAAUUGGCAGACGCGCGUGACUCAAAAUCACGUUCCCUCGUGGAGUGCCGGUUCGAGCCCGGCCACCGGUA